RNAcentral lists this long non-coding RNA (20869 nucleotides) under Gossypium barbadense (sea-island cotton). Its description in RNAcentral is "long non-coding RNA (GBAR_LNC020868)". The stretch from base 14152 to 14300 matches the Rfam family "MIR8643 microRNA precursor family". The record is from RNAcentral. Lineage: Eukaryota; Viridiplantae; Streptophyta; Magnoliopsida; Malvales; Malvaceae.
UUUUUUUUUUUUUGCAGCCCGUUUUACUAUGGCCAUCGAUAACAAGAGUGUUUGAACUUCUUGAAGAAACAAGGAAAAACCCUUUAAUACCGCCUCCUAAAUUUUGGUUGGAGAUUAUUUAAUUAUUUGUUGCUUGCUCACUAUAAUCUCUUUAACCCUGGUGGAAUUCAGCUUGAAGUAUGUGGAAUAUGAUCUCCAUAUUUUUUGGCACCGUUAUUGCGUACGAGAUUUAUUUCUUCAUGGUGACCAUGAUUCUUUUUGCUCACUUGCAGCCUGCCUCUUGUCGAGUAUUGUGUUCUAUGGUCCCUGCAUAUAUUUAAUUUUGUGUCGGCGGGUAUGGUACAUUCGAAAUCAAUAUCACCAUUCUAAUGUUGUCCCAUAUUUAAGCUUUGCUACAGAUUGGUGUAAGAUUUUUCUCGCAGCUUCUAAGCUGCCAUUGCUAAAUUUUAAUUCGUAUAUAAUGGUUCCUAGAUGGAUUGAACCAUCAGUUGGGUGGUGCAAAUUGAAUGUUGAUAUUGGAAGGGACUUGCGCAUUAAGUGAUGUGAAUGUAUUGACAUGGUGCCACGAUCCGCCAACUUGUAUUGGUCUUUGGCUUUGUAAUGAAUUUAUUUAAUAAUCAUUUGGAUGCAUUCAUUUUGAUGAGUAAUUUUUCUAACGAGGGCAUCUGUUUUUUAAUUAAAAAAAAUGCCAAAACUUUGUAGCACCCUUGCUUAGGAUUGGAAUGUAUAUUAAUGCUUCAUAACGUGUACCUAUAUCAACCUGCAUAUCUCACAAGCCAUUAUUUAAAAAAACAAAAAAGAACAUGUUUAAGAGGAUGUCUCAAAACACAUUUUUAUUGGAGAUUAGUUUAGCAAUUUUAAUCAGUUUAGAGGACACGUAAAGAGAAAGCGUUGGAACGGGAAUGGGGAAGUCAACAUCGUUGAGUGGAUCGAAUCAUCAGAUUUAUGGGAACCACUUUGUACCAUGUGAUUCUCAUACGUAACCUCCCUAUGACAACUCUGCAGCAACCAGAUUGCACAUUAAUAUCCAGCUUUUCCUUUCCAGAUUAUUACUUAUAGUCCAUUUAGUCUCUUUAUUUUAUUUAUUUAAAAUUAAUUUCUUUACUUUGUUCAUUUUCAAUUAUAUCAUUAAUUUUUUCGUUAUUUUCAUUAAAAAAAAAGUAUAAUCAUAAAAUUAGCUCUCAAUUUUUUUAACUUUUAUGCAUUUAAAAAAAAAACCUAUAUUUCACAAAUUUUCAUGGGAUAAGAAACUAUGCUAAAUGAGAUAAGAGGAACUUUAAGAUUAUGCCAUAUUAUAAAUAAAAAAUUAAAUUAUAAAAUUUAUAUAAAAUCUAAAUAUAUAUAUAAAUUAAAAAAUAAAUAAAAAUAUUAGAAACAUAAAAAUAUAAAAUUAAUAAAAAAAAAAGUAUAUAUACCGAAUAAAGUAUAUCCACUUAGUUUAAAUUUCUUGUUAACAAAAAAAAUUCCUAUUUUUCUUAGAUCUACAAGUUUAAAUCCAUCAUCCUCUUCUUCAAGAUGAAACCCAAUCAUCUUCUAGAAAAAACAUAAAAAUAGUUCUCCAACAAAUAACCACUUUGGUUUCCAAAAUAAAUAAAUAAAUAAAGCUUUAAAAUUUUUGAAGUGUCUUGGAGUUUUGGUGGUUGGAAGUUUGUUUUUAUUGUUUGCGGUGGGUGUCACCCUGAAAACAUUUUUUGGCUUUUGAGAAUCCAUCAAACUCUUUAUUGCUUCCGGCUGUGUGGGGAGGGGGCAAAUUUUGAGUUUAUUUUUUCUCUUCAAUUCUAAGGACAAAUUCAUUAGUUGAUCGCAUGCUUUUUCUCUUUUUCUUUUCUCUUCCAUUUUGUAAUGGCGAAAGGUUUUCUUUUUUCUUUUUUUGGUUUUCUUUGGGGCGGGGGCUAGGAGAAUUUAAUAAAUAAAUUUGAUCAAUUUUUUUGAAUUUUGAAAAUGAUGCUUUAAACAAUUAGAAAAUAGUUAGAUUAAGAAAGAACAAGAAAAGAAAGGCUAACAACCAUGAGAUUGUUUUCCGACCAAAUCUAAUAGAAUUAAAUAAGAAAUGUGACUUAUCCGAUAAAAAAAAUUAGGGAUUUUAAAAAUAGGGGCUAAAUUAACAAAAAUGACAAAGAUUAAGAGCUAUGUGAUUAUACUUGAUUUUUUAAUGCAAAAAGAUUAACUAAUUGAAGUGUCAUUUGAAUGUCAAAAGACAAUGGAUGUCGACACUCAAAAUAUUGUAAGGAUGCAUUCGUUCAAGGAAUGCAAGAUUAUAUUUGAGAAUAAGAUUAUAGGAAUGUAGAAUUAGUUAUAGAAAGUAGGAUAUAUUACAUUUUCAUAUCAUACUUGGUUUAUUUGGCAAGAAUGUAGAAUUUUGAUGUUUGGUUAAUAGAAUCUAAAAUUAUUUAGAAGCAUAUAUUACUAAAUUGUACUUAUUAUAGAUCUAUUUUUAGAAGUUUAACUCCUUUAAUAUUUUUUAGCUUUAAUUUCCAUAAAAUUAUAAUAAAUUCUUAUUUUUAUUAGAAUUUAUAUAUUACUAAGUAACUAUAUGAUUGAAAUAAAUUUAUAAAUUCUAAUUCUAAUAAUUAUAAUUGCAUCAUAAUCAUAAUUAAUAUAUUAAUUAUAAUUAUAAAUUAUAAAAUCAACUGUUUCGCUGUUAAGCAAAAGAGAAUUUUUAUUUUUAAUUGGAAUUAAAUUUUAUUCGGAAAAAAAGACGAAACAGAUUAGAAUUAUAAAAAAUGAUGGGUUCAUUUGAAAUUUGGGAUGAUCUAAAGAAUACUUAUAUUUCGGCAUUUUAACACGAAUUGUGAAUGCGAGAAUGUUUUGAAUCCAAAUAGCGGAGGUAGGGCAUUGGCCCCCUUUACUAAAUGAGGGAAUUGUCUCUAAGCCCUCGCAUAAAUUAAAACAUUAAAUUUAAGGUUGUUUUUUAUCCAUUCGGAACAAUUGCAUUUUUGGUCCCUACGGGAAAUGAGAAAAUUAAUUUAAUAUUUUUGUAACACAUUUUUUAGUUUUGGUCCUCAAAAAUUUUAUAAUUUUAUCUUCAUCUCUUAUAACUUGACUUCAACCUUUAAUCCAAAUGAAAUAAUAAUAAGGAUAAACUAAACGCUGCUUAAAAGCAAUCAUUAACAAAUUUUAAAGCUAAAAUUUCAAGAUCCCUGAACUGGUAUUAAUUUUUAAUUUUAUUGUUGAUGAUAAACUGCAAGAAUACGUCUCUGCCAACAUCUUUAUUUUUCUUCUCUUUAGGAGUUAUAAGUUUUAACUCUGCGUAUAAAACACUGAAAAAAGAGAGCUUAGUUUUGUUGUGUUUUUUGGGGUAUGUUAUGUUACUGUUUGCUGAAGAAUGACUAAUGGGGGAGGCAUCUGAUUAAAAAGCAAAGAAUCGCAGCGACAAAUCAGGAAAAAUAGAGAUAAGAAAGCGCUGGAAAAAAAUAAAUCUCACAGCACCCCCUGUCGGUGCACAUUACUUGGAAACUCGGCCACAGCCAGCCACUGCUAAGUGCCAAUUUUUCUGAGUUUCACGCGUUGCUGUGGCACGUCUCCAGUCACGAAACUACCUGAUUCGUUCUGUAAUCUGUAAACGAAUAUCUCUUCUUUUUUUGUUGUUUUAAAAUAUAAUAUAUAUUUCUUGGUUUUUUUGGUUAAGAAGAUUAGCAUUCUCCGGUUAUGGCAACUUUUUCUAGUAUCUGGAUUGGAAGUUCACAGUUCCAGGUUAAAGAAAUGGCAGGGUUGGAUAUGGUGCUAAGCAGAUCAGUUAUAGUCUGUCAAUGCCAAGUGGAGUCCAUGGUGAAGUGGGAUAUGGAUUGAGCUGUAUUUUUAUAAACUAUAAAAUAUAUAAGAAACAAAAUUAGUCCUCAAAAUUUGACAUACAAAAUCCUGCUCUUGAAUGCACCUGAGGCACCAAAUCUUCAAAGGACAUGAGAGGCCAAGCCUAUGAUAUCUUUUUCUUUUAUGAUAUGAAAACUUAGUACCGUAUUUAUCAAUAACAAAAACAUACGAAUUAUAAAAUCAUUUUUAAAAGAUGAAAUAUUCGAAUGUGAAUUCAGAUUUAAAUCCCAGCACCAACUAUGCUUCUUUUUUCUUUUUUUUUUUUACUUUCAAACUGCCCCCUUUUUUAUAAGUAUAUGCAUAUUGGCAGUGUUACAUUUAAUUUUCUUUUUGUUUUGUUCCAAGUGAUUUAUAUUCCACAUAAUGAAAAUGAAAGAUUGAACAAGUCAGAGUCAAACCCAUGAUAAUAUACAAAUAAGAAACACACUUGGGAUUCAAAAGUGAGUGAUGGAGUGGAGUCUGCAGUUAUUAAAUGCUGAAAUAACUAUCCACUGCUUCCCCAGCUUUCAAUUUUCAACCAAAAACUCAGACACGAUCCUUCCGCUUUCUCAACACCUACCAGCAAUUGCACCUCCAAUCAAUCCAAAGAUUAAAAAAAAAAAACAGUAGGCCAAUUGGGGUCCCCUUCCAUUGUGAUGUGGAUUCUCCCAAUUGUGUGUUGUUCCUUUCACUAUCUCUCUCUUUCACACAUUGAGGUCACACCAGCAAGUACCACCCACAUUACCCCCCAAUUUAUUAACCCUUCUCUUCCUUCACCAUUCUCAUCAUAGCUACCCAACAGUUCCAAACCCAGUUCAGUUUUCUCUUUCCCUUUCCCUUUGCCUUUGCAGGGUCAGGGGUCAGAUUAAUUUCCUGUUCAGAUUUCAAUUCAUAUUUUUUGUUUCUUGGUUUCUGUUCAAAGCUAGUUUUGGGAGCCAAUACUGUGAUAUUACCGCGACUGACUUCAUGGUUACAUGAAAUGAAAUAAUCCCUUCAUGAUGAUUACCACUUCACUUUUUACUUCCCCCCUCCUUCACACCUCUACUUUACUUAUUAUUUCCCUUUGCUUUCUUCUUCUUUCUCCGGUCUCUUCCCUUCGCCACCUGCAGUCUUCAACCUCCCCUGAUCGGGUUAGCAUUCAACCCCCCCUUCUCUCUCUUUCUUUUCCAUAUAUUAAUAUUUCAAAUAAUGGUGAUAUUGGGUUUUUCUUAAUUAGGGACUCUCUUUUGUGGAGAAAAUCAGGCUGGGAUCAACUCCUCCGAGCUGCCAUAACAAAUGCAACGGAUGCCACCCUUGCAUGGCAGUCCAAGUGCCUGCAAUACCCACCCACAGCCGGUUUCAACCAGGUUUGAGCAAAGCCAUCAGUAAUUCCAUGCGGUUUUUUCACCCAUCAACUAACCAAUACUCCAAUUACAAGCCUCUUGGAUGGAAAUGCCGCUGCGAUGAUCACUUUUACAACCCUUGAACAUAUCAUAACCAUUUUAUAUUAAAGGUUUGGAAUUACUGUUCAUUGGUUCCAAGCUUCUGUAAACCCUAUUUCACCUCUUUUUCCCUGUUAGGAUCUAAAAUUAAAUUGUUUAACAUGGGGGGUUUGGUGGGUCGCUGGGAUUCUUUGCAGAUUUUCACCAUUAAAUGUAUAAUAUAAAAAUAGCCAUGUACAGAUAAGUUGCAACAAACCCGUGAGUUUUUAUCGUUAACAAUAUUAGAUAUCAUGUUUAUAUUUACAUUAGUAGAUUUAAAUUAAGAAAUAUUUAUAUUUUUUCUUAAAAAAAAGAAAGAAAGAAAUGCUUACAUUUUUAACAUCACCUGGUGAAAGUUUACAAGUGUGUUUAUCUAAUACUAAAAUUUAUUUUAGUACCUUUAAUAUUAAAAAGAUUAUUUCAAUCUCUAUAUGUUUAGAAAGUUUGGUAAUUUAAUUUAUUUUUAUUGCAAAUGAAAUGAUAUAAUUUAACAAUGGUUGAUUUGAUAUUAAGAGUCUGUUUGAUUGCCAGUAAAAUGUUUUUCGUAAAAUGAUUUCUGGAAAAUGUUUUACUUUUCUGUAAUGUGUUUGAUUGAAUCUGUGUAAAAUAUUUUCUGCUGUUUGACAGAUUUCCUGAAAAUAUUUUUCGAAAAAGUUGUUUUUACAUAUAUUAAUAUAUAUUAAUAAAUUUUUAUAUUUUAAAUUGUUUUUACAUAUAUUGCAAUGAUUUAUUUAUAAUAAUACUCAAUUAUUAAGCUACAAUAUUAAUCGUUAUAAAUUGAAAAAAACUAAUAUCAAAUAAAUUAUUUGUAAUUGUGUUAAAAAAAUAAGUAUUGAAUAAUUAUAAAUUGCUUCAAAACCACAAUGAGUACUAAAAACAAUAUUAUCCAAAUACAUAAUUAGUAGUACACCAUAUAGUAACAACAUUGUUCAAGUACAUAAUAUUACACCACAUAAAAGUAUCAAUAUCUUCAACCCUGAAAAAAUUUUUGAAGCCAAAUUUUUCUAUGGUUCUUACUUUUAACUAAAAAAGCUUUGGCCUCGGAUUCAUGACUCACUAGAUAAUCAAACACAGAACACAAGAAGUCAUCAUCAAAUCCUUCUUCCUCUAUCGACAUCACUUGUUUGUAAAGCUGUGAUGUCUUAUCGGCAGUAAAUUGUUCCAAAGCAUUAGCAAUUUUGCCAAGUUGUUCACCCACAAAUUUAAUUUGUUCAUCAACGACACUUUCUUGACCACUUUUUCUUUUACGUUUGGAUGUGCCAGAUGAAGAUACAUUUGUUCUUACCUCUUCAGCCUCUUCAUUGUCACAGUCUACAGGCAUUGAAUCUUCAUUACCAUCAUCCAAAUCUAUGUCAGCAAAUGUUAUGGCAAAACUCCCUGUUGCCAUAUCUUUGCCAACAACCAAAGCCAUUUCAUCAUAAUAAUCAAUGCUUUUAUUCAAAAAUGGUUCAUACUUCUUGUGUGCCUGUUAGAUAUUAUACACAAUUAGGAUAACAAGUAAAAAACAAUUAAAAUAUACUUAACAUAUAUAUACAUAUAUUACCAUCACUGCUGCAUCAUAUGUCGCUCUAUCACAUGUGAUCAUUUUCAUGUUAUCAUCCCAUCCAAAACCACUUUCACCUCGAAUUUUGCAUAUAAUCUGCCACUGGUUUUUUACUGUCCUCAAAUGAUUUUCCACAUGCUUCGCAUCGCAUUGGACUUGGAAUCUUUCAGAAAUGGCGUCGGUAACUCAAUUAAUAGAAACUGCUUUGAAAGUAUUAGAAGUCUUAUUUCCUUUUCGAGCCUCCUCUGCUAGAAUUUCAAGGAAAACAUGUUUCAUCGAUUUUGUCCACCUGAAUUGCUUGGAGGUCCCUUCUUUGUUGCCCUUACCCAUUCUACAUUAAAUAAUUGUCAUUGUCAAUAAUUUCAAUAUCCAACAAGCUUAAAACAUAAUAUUAAAUACAAUAUCCAACAAGGUUAAAACAUAAUCAAUAUCUAACAAAUUCAAGACAUAUAUCAAAAUCCAACAAUCUAAAAUUUCAAUAUCAUUAUCCAACCAACAUUUACAAAAAAAAAAAAUUAUACUAAAACAUACAUAACAUAGAGAUAAUAACCCUAAGCCCUAAAUAUACCUAAUAUUUCUAGUCAUAUAAUCAGUCCACAUAGUUUGUGCAAUUUCAUCUCUCUUAGCAGACCAUUCUCUUGCUUCUUGUCUUUCUUCUCGCUCCGUGAGAGUUUGUAUUAUCGAAUCAGACUCAGACACCUCGUAUAAUCCUUGAUUAAGUAAAUCACUAGGAUCAACUCCCAUUAUAUGAUUAUGAAUGAUACAACAAGCCAAAACUAUAUCUACUUGAGUUUGAAAAUUCCAAAAUGGUUCAGCAUCUAAUGCACGAAACCGUUUCUUCAAAAUCCCAAAAACAUGUUCAACAGUGAUCCGUAAUGAUGAAUGGCGAAGAUUAAAGAGUUCCUUUGCAUUUUUAGGCCCUUCAGCACCAAACUCUUUUAAAUGAUAUCGGACACCACGAUAUGGGGUAAUACAUCCAAUUCAGAUGCCAUAUCCAGCAUCAGCAAGAUAAUAUUUACCUACAAUUUUACAAUACAUAAUUAAUACUAAUAAACUAUGAGCUUACUAGAACUAUUUGAGAUAAAUAUUACCUUCCGAAAUUCUUAAUCCUGUUGGGCGCGAAAGUGCAUCACUUAAAAUACGAGAAUCAUGUGCACUACCUUCCCAACCAGCUAGAACAUAGGAAAAUUUCAAAUCAAAUGUAAUGGCAGCCAAUACAUUUUGUGUUGUCCCCCCUUUACGGCUACGAAAUCUUCCUUGCAUGCUAGGUGGAACAGAUGCACGAAUAUGAGUUCCAUCUAAUGCUCCAAUACAAUCUUUAAAAUAAGGAUAAAACCUUGGAUUGUUUCUAAUUUCACUAGGAGUUGACUCAUCACGUAAUCUAAUAACUAGUCUAUACAAUUUCAAAAUAGCUCUCAAUACAACCCUAAAGUAAUGGUGAACUGUCUAAGUUGAUCUAUAAUAUCUAGAUCCAACCACUCGAAACCUUACAUUAUGACCAAUUAUAUGUAAAAAUAUAACUACUUACUCCCUAAUAUUGACAGAUUUAGACGAUUGUAACAAAUUAUUCGUACUAAGAAUAUCACAUAAAUUAAAAAAGGUGAUCGGUCUCAUCCUUAUCACAUCAAUGCAAUGCUGGUCACCACUAUAUAAAAUACUAUUAAUAUAGUUUUCUCUUUCAUAAUCUCGAUUCACACGAGGGCGAGAAGCAAUUUCCUUCCUAGUUUCUAAUUUUUUAAUCCAAAGAGCCCCAAAAGCUAAAACUGAAGCCACGACUCCGACAAUUGCCAUUUGAUGUUGAUUACGAUCCAUCUACACAAAAUAAUGCCACACAGAUAUAUGAUCACUACUACAAAAGAUGCAAGAUUUUCAUAAGAUCACAUAAAGUUACCAUGACUAAAAGUGCAUACAUACAUAUCAAGCUAAUUAUAAUUGCAUAAUAAUUUUUUGAAAGUAGCACUUAAAAUAUAUUGAUCAUAGUUAAUACAAUACUUCAAUUGGUGCAAGAUUUUGUUAUAUAUUAUUAGGUUAUCUUUCAUGUAUAAUUAAUUAAUUAAUCACGAAUUUGAAUGGGAAAUUUGAAUGGAAUUCAUUUAAAAAUCAAUAUAUUAUUAGGUGCAAUACUUUAAUAUUUAACAUAUUAUUUAUAAAAAAUAUACAUUAACAGAAAUUUGAUUAUUUAAGUAUUGUUUUUUAUUGCAAAAACAUUAUUAAAAAUGGUGAUGCCUCUUUUUUAAAAUAUAAAAAAAUUUAAAAUUAUAAAUUGCUAUCAAGUGUGUUUUCUUUUUUUAUUUCGAAAUUUAAACAAAAAAAAUUUGACAAUGUUAUAAAUUUUUUUAUUUCUAUUUUUUAUAAUUUUUUAAAUUAAAAAUUGAUUACUUUUUAUAAAAAAAUAAAUAAUGUUUAAGUGCACUGCUAUAAUUGCUAUAAUCUCAAAUGUCCAUCAUGAUUUUGUUUGCUCCAUUUUCAGCAUGAGAAGACUGACUGGACAAAGCUAGUAGUAAAUACUACCACAUGUGUGUAUAUAUAUAUUUCGGACAUAACUAACAAAAAUAUCAGUCCCUAAGAUGCCUAUAGAUGAGUUAUUACUAGCUUCCUGAUUUCUUAAAUCAAAAUCUACUUGAAAAGUUAAAAACAAAUUUGAUUUUGGUUUAUCUGUCAUUUGCAAAAGUUUUGAGACUUUCCCAUUUCUAACUUCAUCUUUUCUUUAAUUUUGAGUCUUUGAACUGUGAAAAAAAUGGUGGGGUGCAUGAAGUCAUAAUUUAGAGAUAAAUUGGCACGUGACAGUCGCCAUAACUAAAUUCUUUCCCUCCUGUUCAUACUGUAUAUUCACUACAAUCUCUUUAAUGGAAAUUUAAGGCAUGUUUGAAUUCAGAUAGCAAAUGAAUAUGUAUCACACCUAAACUUCCAAAUCGAUAUCAAUGUGUAAUAUUUAAACAACAUUUCCUUAUAUUUUAAAGAAAAAAACAUAAUUCCUUGCCAUAAACUCUAUAUUACUACAUAUAUUUAAAUAUAUAACAUGGAAACUUGGGAAAAGGUCAUUGUUCCCAUAAACUUAUAUUGUUCCCCAUUGGUUAUUGGCUGUCUUGUUCGUUAAUACCAGCUUCUGUGCUUGCAUUGCACCAAAGAUUAUUACCACUGACAACAUAAUAAUAACAACCUAAACCCAGACCUUUUUAAUGCCAAUUCCAUAUGCUAUAAAUCAUGCCAAAAUUACCAAAAUUCAUGACAUAUGCACAUAUGUAUUUACCUACCAUCAACCAAAUAUAACAGCUCAUCACUGCCAUUUCCCAAAUAAUAUGUAAACAAAUUACAGUAAAAAUGUAAAUCAAUAAUAAACCAUACCCAAACACAUCCAACAACCAUGCUUAAUUCACUUGAACCGAAUUAUAACAACCACAAAUGCAUAUUAUACCAAAUCAUAAAUCAAGCACACCACAAACAUAUAACAACCACAAAUGCCAUGCCAUUGGCAGACCAGAAUCAAGAAAGAAGACAUUCCAAAGAUAAAACCUUGGACCAACCUCUUAUGAAAAUAUCAACCAAGGCCACCAACAGGAGUAAGAAUGCUGAGGUAGAGGCUAGGACAGCAAUACCUAUACAGCUGGAGGUCAAGCAUAGAAAGAAAUUAGAACAGCUAGAAGCAAUAAAAAAUCAAACACAAAUCAUUAAUGGUUUAAUUUAAUGGAUUGAAAUUACAAUAUAUUAAUACUUGUAUUAUAUGGUGUGAAUCAUGCUUCAAACAGAAGAAAAUUGCAAUCUAUGAUUGAAUGCUAAUUGUUUGCAGACAAGUAGGGUCGCAUAAGGAAUCUCAGAAGUUAUUGCAGGAUCAGACAUGAUAUCCAAAAAAAUCCAAACUAACUUUUGCAGUAGAGGAAAAAAAAUUUCUAAAAGAAAUAAAAAAGUUUUGUGAACUCAUUUGGGGGAUGAAAUGGGACAGUAGAGACUGGCCACCGUAGUUGACUUUCUUACUAAUUCUAUCAAUUACUAAUUCUAAACAAGAAUGUUAUGGAUGCUUAAUUUUUGUAGUAAGAGAAAAAAAAAACAAAUACCAAUUAAUUUGCAACGUUACUAUAGUAAAGCAUACAUGGAUGCAGAGAACCAAAGUGCAAUUAAUUUGUAAGUUAAAAACAAGUUACUAUAGCUUAUGACAGGAAAUGCUUGUAGUUUUGUGCAAAUUGCAGUUGUCACAUUUAUGAUAAUGUGCUUGGUAGCAGGGAGGGUCCAGUGCAAUGAGGACUCUCUCCCAUACCACUAACCCACCUUAAUAACACUCCUAGAAUUUGGCAUUAUCCUAUUCAGGUUCUUGGGUCACUUUCAGCCACAACAGGGUAAACCAACACUAUGGGAGUUGGAUUCAGACCAACACUACAGUGUUGGAAGGCAUGGCCCUAAUCUUCUUAACGAGGAUGCAGGGUAUAUCGAGUGUCCAAAUUGCUAAUAUAUUUUAUACCAAAUUUCUAGUUCCAUUGGUUUUUCUGAGACUACAACGUAUUGUCAAAUUUCAAGAUAUGAUAUGCAUAUGCUAAGCACUAUUUAUGUUUGAUUGUGAACAAACAAUUUUUUUGGAUUUUAACCAAUCUACAGACCUGUUUUGCCAUACAACAAUGCAAAUAAAUAUACAGUUUGCAGGUAGGUUCAACAAGCUUGACAAUAGCAAGAUAUGAAAUCAACACCUUGCAUUACCCAAUUUUCGCGCAUAAAAACCUAAAACCCUUUUACAAUCUAAUCAGUGUCAACAAUUACUGAACAAUGCACUAACAUUCUCUUAUGAAAUGAAACCAGACACAAGUUCGAACGAAUUUUAGAGGUUGAAAUUUCCCAGAAAUGAAGGAUAUCAACUAUUUGACUACGAGUCUUUGUGCUGUGUAUCAUACCAGGAUAAAAGAAAAUCAAAUUGCAACCUCAACAUCAAACAAAUGGAGUGAAAGUGAAAAAAAAAAUUAUAGAAAUAUCGGGACAGAAAAUACAAACCCAGCAAGUCUUUUUCGACAAAUUGAAAAUAAAACCAUAAAAAAUCAAAUAAUGUCUAUAAUAAAAUGUUACCUGAAAUUUCCCACAGAUCUGACGGAAAUUGGAGUGGAGAUAGCAAAAAUAAAUGGUGGUCGGAAACUGAGCACGUUUGGAUCGGUAAUCUGGAUGGAUACGGAGAAGAGGGAACCGAGGAAAUGAAAGAAAACUGCGAUAAUUGAAGAGGGAACCGAGGUAAUGAAGGAAUGAAGGACUUCUUGGGGGGUUAGUGGAAAAUCGAUAAACAGAAGCAGUGUUUUUUACCGGAAAUGAAGGAAGGAAUGAAUGAGGCGAUAGAGAGGAGAGCACGGAAAAUGUCUUACAGAAAUUGAAAGGGUAAGACAUUUUCCCUAAAAUGUAACCCAAUUUCCCGUGCUUUGGAGUUCAUUUUCCAAAUGGAAAAUGUUUUCCGCCAAUCAAACGCUGGAAAAGGCAGAAAUGAUUUUCCAGAAAAUCAAUUCCGCCAAUCAAACAGACCCUAAAUCAAACAUUAAAUAAAAUAAAAAAAGUUAAAUAAUAAUUUUAAAGAAUAAGAAUUAAGAAAUUAAAUUUUCUUUUACCCUAAAUUAUCUCUGAUUCUAUUUUUUUUUUGCACUUAUAUCUUUGUAAUUUGGUUAAGGUUAAUCGCCUUUAAUGCCGUGUCUAAUUAAGUUACUCCAUUCCACUAACGAUUAAGUUAAUAUAUGGAAAUAUUUUCAAAUAUAGAAGAAUUAAAAAGAAAUCAAAAUUUGAAAGCAUUAUAUUAAAGAAAUAUUUAUAAAAGCAGGGCAGCUCAUGUAAAAUGGAUAAGUCUGUAAUCGUACAGAUGGUUACGCCGCUAAACUAAAGCAGAGAUUCUACAACUUCGUUAUCUCAGUUGUGUUGUUCCUUUGGCUUAGCUUAUUAUAUUUAUAUGUAUAUAUAUUUUGAGAUAGUAAAAUAUCAGAACUUAUUUAAUAAUUAUUUUAAAAUAAUUGUAUGAAUUAAUUGAAUUUUAAAAAAAAAUUGGUUGAAAACGAUACCAGUUGAAUUUUAUGAGAGAAACUGAAAAGUACAAAAAAAAAAUCAUGCCCUUAAAAUUGCUAGACUAACAAAAUAGAAAAAAAAACUAAGAUUUCGUUUGGUAGAAUAAAAAUAAAAUUGUAAAGAUAAAAAAUUGAAUGGAUAGAAAAAGUAGAAAUAUAAAAAUAUAUAAUAUUUCUUUUAAUAAGUGUAUUUGGUAGGAAGAUGAAAAAAAUGAGAGAAUGUAUUUUCUUUUCAUCCAUUACUUGAUAAAGUUGAAAAAUAAAGGUAAAGAAAAUAAAACAUUUGAAAAAUACAUAAUUUCAAAUUAAUAUAUGUAUCUCAUUCAUUUUCUCUCUUUUAAUCAUUUCAAUUUGAAAAAGUUGAUUUUUAAGCACCAGGAUGAAAAAUAAUCAUCUCUUCUAUUUUAUUUCAUCUCACUUUUUUUUUCCCUACCAAACAUAUUCAAAAUUUAUUUUCUUUUCACUUUUCCAUUCUCUCCUCCCAUCAUUUCACUUUUUCAGCUAACCAAACACAAUUUAAAAAAACUUUCUAGUUCUCUCCUCUAAUAACGCAAAGAAAUCCUGCUAGUCUUCAUCACAAUUCACCAAAACUCCAUAAGUAGUUGUAGAUUGAAAAUUUAAUGGUGAAAAAAAUAACAUGCAAUUCGUUCCCGCCAUGGAAUCAUUGUAUGUCCGAGCAAUCCAGAGUCAUUUCUAAGAGUACGUUUGGUUCACUUUAAUGGAAUAGAGCUGUAAUUGAAUAGAGCUCUAAUGGAAUAAAGCUGUAAUCAGUAAUUCAAUUAUUUGGUUGAAUGGAAUGGAAUAGAACUAUAAUAGUAUUCUUCUAUUUGGUUGAAUGGAAUGAUGUUGUAAUAGCAUAAGGAAAAAAAACUAAAAUGACUAGAAUAUCCUUAGCAGAAUUUUUUUAGGUAGAUGAUUAUUGUUAUUGUUAUUAAAUUUUAAUAAGAUUAUUAUUAAAAAUAAUUUAAGAAAAAUAAUAAAUAAUUUAACCAUAUUUUAACAUAAUUAUUAUUAGGGUAAACUACACCUAUGGUCACUUUUGUUUACCUUAGGUUACAUUUUAGUCAUUCAUGUUUGAAAUGUUACGUCUUAGUCACUUACAUUAUCAUGUUGUAACAUUUUAGUCACUGAGUCGUUAAUUUCCGUUAAAUGGUGUAACAGUAAGCUGACUUGGCACGUUAAAUAAUCAUUUCAAACCAAAAAUUUAAGUUAAAUUAUACAAUUGAUCCCCAUAUUUUUUUCGUUUUGAGCAAUUUAUUUUUUUUAUGUUCUUUAAACUUUUCUCUCUUUUAUUUAUUUAUUUUCCAUUCUCUUCUGUUUCUCCCUCUAUUUUCCUACCUUCUCCAUUUCUUUUAACAUAUCAGGAAGUCGAAUUGGCUGUGAAAAAUGAAGCAAAAAGUCAAAAGUCAUCAUUGCCUAUAACCAAAACCCAUAAACCCAUACCAUGCUUCUUUUUUCACUGCCAAUUCGACUUCCUGAUAUGUUAAAAGAAAUGGAGAAGGUAGGAAACUAGAGGGAGAAGCAUAAGAGAAUUAAAAAGAAAAAUGAAAAGUUAAAAUAACAUAAAAGAAAAAAAAUUAAAUUGUUCAAAGUAAAAAAAUAUGGGGACCAAUUGUAAAAUUUUUGUUUGAAAUGAUGAUUUAACGUGCCACGUCAGCUUACUGUUAUACCGUUAACGACAAUUAACGACUCCGUGACUAAAAUGUUACAACGCGAUAACGUAAGUGACUAAAACAUAACAUUUCAAACAUAAGUGACUAAAAUGUAACCCGAGGUAAACAAAAGUGACCAUGGGUGUUGUUUACCCUUAUUAUUAAAUAUAAUUUAAUAAAAAUAAUAUAUAAUUUAAUAAAAUUCUUAAUAUAAUUAUUAUAUGAAUUAAAAAAUAAUAAUAUAUAAUACUAUAAAAAUAAUAUAUAAUCUACUUUAUUAUUUUUAAACUGCAAUACAUAUUUAAUAUGCUAAAAUAUCAUUAGUGAAACAAAUAAUUUAAUUAUUCUACAAUAAAAAAAAUAUUAGAAGUAAUAAAUAACUUGAGAAUUAUAUUUCACAUCCAAACAUAAUAUUCAUAUAUUAACAAAAAGUUACAUGAUUUCAUUAGUUUAUAUGUCAUAAUCCAUAUGUUAUAAAAUUUUACAAUAUCAAAAAGUUACAACAUUGUAAUGACAUUCUAUCAUGUCAUUAUACAAUCCAAAUAUUACAAACACAAAAAGUUAUCAAAAUAUCAUCAACACAACCAUGAUUUUUAAUGGUCAGUAAGAAAUUUUCUGACCCAUUCCAAUCGCACAGAAGGAGGUAAACUAAAGAAAAUGAGCAUUUGCGUUAGAUGAUUUGGAAUUUUGCUUAAUGUUCGAUAGCGCUCAUCCUAAGUUAAACCUUCUACUUCACAUAAUGUUGGAUAUAAUGUUAGAGCUCUUUCUUGAAUGGUCAUUUCUGACUUUUGUUGAAUUAGCACUUCGGAGGCAAUACUCCUACUGAUUUCAACGCCAACGGUCUGUAUGUUUUCUGCCAAUAAAGUGGCAGCAUCAUGAAAUGAAGUAGAAGAAAUAUGAUCACUUGCAUUAGAAUUUUUUUUUCUUCUUUGAAAAUGUGGAAUCACCUUGGUUUCUAGCUGGUUGCGAUUAUGUAGCUGAAAGAUCCAUGUCAUCCAAAGAAACAUUAGCUUCGCAUCCAUAGAAAUCGUUUCUUUCUUCAUGAGUAUUUGUAGUAGCUACAUCCUCAACAUCUAUUUCUUCAAUAAUAUCAGCGGCUGUUUGAGCAUUUUUCCUAGUGGCUCGAUCUUUUGCGUAGUUGGCAGUAAGUUGGUCAUAAUAAGGGAAACUACGAUGUUUGAAUUGACCGGCUUCUUUAUGACUUUAUAAAAAUGAAGAAUUCAUAUUAGAUAUAAGUUUGGUCAAAAUAAGAUAAUAAAUACUUGAAAUAAUUCUUACAUUUAUAUAUGAGUUCCACACCGCAUCUUCAGCAACAACAAGCUGCCUAUACUCAUCCUAACCAAAACUGCUAUUAUUUUUUCCACUAAGCAUGUCAUAAAUGAUUGACCAAUCCCUUUUCAAUGUUCUAAUCCUUGAUUCAAGAUUAAGUUUAGCCUUCAACAUGGCAUUGGGUAAAACUUUUUCUAACAUUUUUUCUAUUUCAUUUAAAUAAUAGGCUUUGAAUCCCGUAUCAACAUUGAAGGUUCCAACAUUGUGCAAGUCGACCAUACAGGCAACCAACGCAGCAUCUUCUUCUGGAACCUAUUUCCUUUUGGUUCCUUGAGAAUUUUGGGAAGAAACACUUGAUUGUGAAAAACUUGACAUAACUAUCUUAAGAAAAAAAUUAAAAUUAAGUUCAAUAUUAUGAAUCAACAGGUCAACAUUUUAUAAAAUUAUAACACAUGAUAAAUCAAAAGAAAAUAAAUUAUAAUUCAACAAGUCUAGUACAAUACAAAAAAAAAUUCAAACACCACCAAAGUUUUAUAAACUAGAUACAUGAAAUAACAUAAACAAAUUAAUGUUUACUAUUUUUACCCUAAACCUAACUAAUUUCUAGAUGCUUGCCAUUCAUUAAAUAUUUGGUUGGCUAGUUCUAUCCUACAAGUAGCCCAUGCAUCUGAUCGAUGAAUAUUUAUGAUAUUCGGUUCAUCGUCAUCUAUCACAUUACUAGGUAAUCCUUCUCCCAACUCCGCUUCAAUAGGAUCAAGACUCAUAUAGGUUCGAAUAAAAUUAUGGAGCAAACAACAUGCAAUAAUGAUUCUAUUGUGCACCUUCACAGGAUAGAAUGAUGAACUCCUAAGUAUUCCCCAACUAAGUUUUAAUAACACAAAGCAUCUUUCAAUAACAUUACGUGCUAAAGCAUGUUUCAUAGUGAAAAAUUCUUCUAAAGUACUUGGCUGGUAACCCUGACGCCACUCAUUCAAAUGAUAUCUUUGUCCUCUAAAAGGUGCAAGAAAUCCCUCACAGUUUGUGUAUCUAGCAUCAACUAGAUAAUAACAACCUAUAAAAAAACUAUUUGUCAUGGUUAAUUUCCCAAAAAAUAUAAUCUUAAAUAUUAAUUCAAAGUCCUCUAAUUUUGCACUUUACCAUGAGGAACUUUUAGUCCAUGUCUCCUACUAAUGGCAUCUUGAAGAACCUGUCCAUCAGCAACAAAACCUUCCCAACCAAGAAGAACAUAAACAAAAUGCAUAUCAGGUGUACAAACACCUGACAUAUUUGUUGCUAUGUCACCUUUUCACGUUCGAUAUCUAGGUUUAUCAACUGUUGAACCCUAAUCUUGAUGUGGGUUCCAUCUAAAACACCUAAGCAAUUCUACAUCACAUGUAUAAAACCUUAAGUUAGGAUACUAUAUUAUGUACAAGCUAUAUAUAGAACUCACUCCAAUACCUUGAACUAUUUCCACCUUGGGUCUGUAGAAUUAGUUGUAAUUGGCUCUGCCUUUUUAAAUAACACAUCUUGUAAGCGUAUGAUAGCAUUUAAAAUAUUGUGAAAUGAUCUGCUAAAGGUUUCCCCAGACCUAUUAAAGUGAUGCUUGAUAACUCGAUUUUUAAGGUGAUGAGAAAUGAUAUGUAAAAACAUUGCCACUUGCUCAUCAACAAGGAUGUUCCUUGACGACUUCAAUUCCCCUAAAGUUUGUAACAUCUCACAUAGUUUAAGAAAGGUAAUUCUAUUCAUCCUAACUUGUUCAAUACAGGUCUCGUCACUAGCAUAUACAAGUCUUUUCACAUAAUCUCGUUUUGCAUAAAAAUCUAAAAUAUAGGAUUUAAUCCUUGGUCUAUAAGUUUGUAGGCUAUGGAUGGCACCCAAUGUAACUAAGAACCAACUCGCAACUGUACACAUUUGCAACCAUAUUGUCAAUGCAAGACCAAUUCUUUUACGCCUCAGACUUUGUACUAUUAAAGGCAGACGAGCCAUUACUGCAAGAUAUUAAAGUGUUACAUAUUUUUAAAUCUUAGUAAAAGGGUCACAUUUCUCCAAUACUAAUUUCAAUAAUAGUAAAAUAAAAUCAAAGAAUUUAAUUGCCAAAGAACUUACAGUGAUCCAGUGAAUACAAGACGCUCAAUUGUGGGUGGAGGAAACAAUAACACACUAUCAAAGAAAAAUGAACAAUACAUAUUAAGAAUCUUUACAAAACACAAAAUAGAAAUUACAACUAUCUUUGCAAGUAAAAAACUUGAAAUUCAUUUCUUUAUCAAUCACCCAAAAAAGAAAAAAAAAGAAAAGAAAAGAAUGUGUUUUUGUGGAUUUGAUUAAUUGAUGACUGACGUUUAAUAAUUAUUUUUUAAAAAAUACCCAUUUAAUACAUCCACAUCAAAUAACAUAGUUUCCAGUUCUACAGAAAUAUACAUAUAUUAUAUGAAAAUUUUUAAAAUAUUCGAUCUUUAAUUUACCUUUUAAAAAGUUUGUAUUCAUCCUUACAUUGUAAUUAACUAAUGUUUUAUUUGAAUUAAUAAUUGUGAAUAGAAAAAUAUAUAUUAUUUUGUUUGAAUAGUUAAAAUUAUUAAAAGGAAAAAAAAUAAUAUGAAUUUAAUAAUUUUUAUGAGAAAAGAAAAUAAGGUCUUAAUUUCUUUUAUUUUGUAUUAACUCAAUUCGAUUAUAGGUAUAUAGUGUGUUAAAUAUAUUAAAAAUUAUGUAUUUUAAAAUAUUCGAUUAUUAUUUUUAUUUAAAUAAAAUCUAAAACUCCAUAUACAUUACAUUCUUACCAUAACAUGAUUUGUUUGUAGCAUUUUACUUUCUUUUUUUGUUUCGUUUGUUGAGAUAAUUUUUGUAGUGUUAAUUAUAAUUUUUAAUCAAACAAUAUAAGUAAUAUAAAACAUUGUUUAAUUAUAAUUUUUAAUCAAACAAUAUAAGUAAUAUAAAACAUUGUUUGAAGACCAAAAUUAAAUAUAACAUAAAUUAAAGAUAUCGAAAAUAAAAAUAGUUUAAUAAUAUAUUAAAAGAUUAAAAUAGUUUUAAAUGAAACAUAUCAAAAAUAAAAACAUAUCAAAAAUUAAAUAUAACCAAAAUGUUCUUGUUUAAAGUAAAAAGAUCAAAUCCGAAUUGUAAAUGUAGUUUAACACGUAUAUAUUGUCUUUCCCGUAUUACUAGAAAAGUGUAAUGGUAUUAUCAUUCCAGUAGAGAUAUUUGUUUAUGUCCCUUUUCCUUGUUCAUUUUUUUGUUGUUGUUGACUCUUGGCAUUUGGCAUCCUACGAGGGUGUGUUGUUCUUUACCUUGGCAGCCUCCUUUUCUAUUAACAAAUUUCAUCUUUCUAAAGUUGAACACAUAACCAACUUACAACAAAGACAUUGGGAGGAUAUUGUUACCUUAGCACAUCCUUGAGUGAUAUUUUUCCCCUUCUUGUUGCUACCUUCAACCUACAAUGAUGACCAAUAAAUUAAUUUCCUUUAGGAGUUACAAAGGAUGAUAAAAUAGGUUCACAGAUCCCUUACUUUGAUGAUGAAUAACUCGAUGUGCAUGAACAAAUGACUCAGCAUUCUACCAUUUAAAAUAUGAUUUGUUCAAGGAGUGGAUAGAUUUACUUUAAAACUAGUUUCUAUUGUUGAAAGAUGCAUAGAACACAGGCAUAAAUCACUUUGAAGUUCUUAAUUAUAAAUACAUGCAAUGAAUCUCAUCAUAGCAUAGGCUGCAAGGCAAUUUUGCCAAGUAUAUUCAAGGAUAACAUGAAUUACAUGUGAUACAUGAAACUUACCAAUCCAAGCCUUCAAAAAGACCUUCCCCUUUUAUUGCUAAAGUUUUAAAAAUAGCCUAUUGUCAGUUUUUUAUCUUGUGUAACUCCAAAGACUCUGUAACUGCAGCGUCAUCAAGUGCACCUGGAAGAUCCUGUAUACACCAAGAAUGUGCACAUGAUCCGCUCUUGUGCAAUGCUAAUUGGCUAAAAUAAGAUGAAGAAAAAAGGUUCACGAUACUUGAACAAGAAAAAGGAAAUGUUCUAACCUACUUGUUUGCAAAAAUAAGAACUGUUGCUCCUCUUCCUGUAAAAUAUUCACACUUGAAACUUGUCCAGAAAAAGCAUUAAUGAAAUACAUAAAACAAGCAUUGACAAAUGAAGUAGGAUAUUGUAAACACCAAGUAAGCGCUAUUGGUUAUAGACAUAUAAACAAGUCAUCAUCACAUUCUAGGGAGCAGAAAGAAGGUUUUCAUGUAGCAUUCUUUCUUUUUAUCAAACUUAUAAAAUACAAAUGUUACUACAGUGGACCAUGAGAUCGAUGUUACCACCUGCAAACUAAUCUAUAUAUCAUCUUCAAUGUAUGGAAUAUUUAAAAGAUAUACCAUAGCAAGGUUUUAGGAAGUUUUUAAGAAAGAGGAAAACUAGUAAAAUACAUGUUGAUGGAUUUACCUCCAAGAUUGCAUAAAAUUCUUCUUUAGCUAUCACCAGCCUAUUUGUGUCACUUGAAUCAACAGCAUAGAUUAUAGCCUGAGUAUUUGGAAAGUAGCUUAUCCAAUAUGGCCUGUAGAGUAAAAUGAAAUAAGAAACUAGGCUGGUCUAUACUAGAAGCACCGUUUUAUUGAAUAUGGGAACAAAAUAUGAACCAUAUACUAAAAUUGAAUAGGAUGAUUAAUCUUUUCAUCUGUCAUGAACACACGAAAGCACCGUUUUAGUGAAAUUAAUUUAUUUUUCCUCUUUUUGUUGCUACCUCAGACAUUGGGUCGUUUGCUGCUCUAACAAGCCAACACCGCUUUUUCCCUUCAGCUUCUUAAGCCAAGGAUUAGCUUACUCCUGUAACAUCUUACGGUUCAACCUCCUUACAGAGUGUUUCAAUUUCAAACUAGGUCUAAAAUUUCACCUCUGUCCCACACGCCGAGCCAGCAAAGGCCCACUCAUCCCCUUUCCAAGUCGACUGAUUGUUCGAUUCUCUCUCGUCCUAAGCCACCUUAAUGCCCCCACUCGACACGCAACUUGGGUAAGAAAAAAAAGACAGACAGGAAAAUGAAAGGAACAACAGAAGGAAAAAUGUUCAGCUAACAUUGGAUGAAGGGGAGGAAUGCUGGAGUUGAAGGAAGUAAGAAAUGGAUGCCGUUUGAGUGUUUUUGAUGUGAGAAUUUGUGAGGGUAAAAUAGGGUUCAUAUGGCAACGAAUGGGUAAACUGUGAA